RNAcentral lists this ribosomal RNA (910 nucleotides) under Parametarhizium changbaiense. Its description in RNAcentral is "SSU rRNA". It matches the Rfam family "Eukaryotic small subunit ribosomal RNA", at positions 125 to 1045 of the family's 1831-position model. Lineage: Eukaryota; Fungi; Ascomycota; Sordariomycetes; Hypocreales; Clavicipitaceae. The record is from RNAcentral.
UAGUAUAUUACUACUUGGAUAACCGUGGUAAUUCUAGAGCUAAUACAUGCUACAAAUCCCGACUUCGGAAGGGAUGUAUUUAUUAGAUUAAAAACCAAUGCCCUCUGGGCUCCUUGGUGACUCAUGAUAACUUCUCGAAUCGCAUGGCCUUGCGCCGGCGAUGGUUCAUUCAAAUUUCUUCCCUAUCAACUUUCGAUGUUUGGGUAGUGGCCAAACAUGGUUACAACGGGUAACGGAGGGUUAGGGCUCGACCCCGGAGAAGGAGCCUGAGAAACGGCUACUACAUCCAAGGAAGGCAGCAGGCGCGCAAAUUACCCAAUCCCGAUUCGGGGAGGUAGUGACAAUAAAUACUGAUACAGGGCUCUUUUGGGUCUUGUAAUUGGAAUGAGUACAAUUUAAAUCCCUUAACGAGGAACAAUUGGAGGGCAAGUCUGGUGCCAGCAGCCGCGGUAAUUCCAGCUCCAAUAGCGUAUAUUAAAGUUGUUGUGGUUAAAAAGCUCGUAGUUGAACCUUGGGCCUGGCUGGCCGGUCCGCCUCACCGCGUGUACUGGUCCGGCCGGGCCUUUCCCUCUGUGGAACCCCAUGCCCUUCACUGGGCGUGGCGGGGAAACAGGACUUUUACUUUGAAAAAAUUAGAGUGCUCCAGGCAGGCCUAUGCUCGAAUACAUUAGCAUGGAAUAAUGAAAUAGGACGUGCGGUUCUAUUUUGUUGGUUUCUAGGACCGCCGUAAUGAUUAAUAGGGACAGUCGGGGGCAUCAGUAUUCAAUUGUCAGAGGUGAAAUUCUUGGAUUUAUUGAAGACUAACUACUGCGAAAGCAUUUGCCAAGGAUGUUUUCAUUAAUCAGGAACGAAAGUUAGGGGAUCGAAGACGAUCAGAUACCGUCGUAGUCUUAACCAUAAACUAUGCCGA